UAGGGAGCGAGCGUUGUCCGGAUUUACUGGGUGUAAAGGGCGUGUAGGCGGAGGAGCAAGUCAGAAGUGAAAUCUCCGGGCUUAACCCGGAAACUGCUUUUGAAACUGUUCCCCUUGAGUACUGGAGAGGCAGGCGGAAUUCCUAGUGUAGCGGUGAAAUGCGUAGAUAUUAGGAGGAACACCAGUGGCGAAGGCGGCCUGCUGGACAGCAACUGACGCUGAGGCGCGAAAGCGUGGGGAGCAAA
RNAcentral lists this ribosomal RNA (245 nucleotides) under uncultured bacterium. Its description in RNAcentral is "partial 16S ribosomal RNA". It matches the Rfam family "Bacterial small subunit ribosomal RNA", at positions 528 to 772 of the family's 1533-position model. The record is from RNAcentral.